UACGGAGGGAGCUAGCGUUGUUCGGAAUUACUGGGCGUAAAGCGCACGUAGGCGGCUUUGUAAGUUAGAGGUGAAAGCCUGGAGCUCAACUCCAGAAUUGCCUUUAAGACUGCAUCGCUUGAAUCCAGGAGAGGUGAGUGGAAUUCCGAGUGUAGAGGUGAAAUUCGUAGAUAUUCGGAAGAACACCAGUGGCGAAGGCGGCUCACUGGACUGGUAUUGAUGCUGAGGUGCGAAAGCGUGGGGAGCAAACAGG
This 253-nucleotide ribosomal RNA is filed under the name uncultured bacterium. RNAcentral's name for it is "partial 16S ribosomal RNA". It matches the Rfam family "Bacterial small subunit ribosomal RNA", at positions 524 to 776 of the family's 1533-position model. The record is from RNAcentral.